ACACUCCUACGGGAGGCAGCAGUGGGGAAUUUUGGACAAUGGGCGAAAGCCUGAUCCAGCAAUGCCGCGUGAGUGAAGAAGGCCUUCGGGUUGUAAAGCUCUUUUGUCAGGGAAGAAACGGUGAGAGCUAAUAUCUCUUGCUAAUGACGGUACCUGAAGAAUAAGCACCGGCUAACUACGUGCCAGCAGCCGCGGUAAUACGUAGGGUGCAAGCGUUAAUCGGAAUUACUGGGCGUAAAGCGUGCGCAGGCGGUUUUGUAAGUCUGAUGUGAAAUCCCCGGGCUCAACCUGGGAAUUGCAUUGGAGACUGCAAGGCUAGAAUCUGGCAGAGGGGGGUAGAAUUCCACGUGUAGCAGUGAAAUGCGUAGAUAUGUGGAGGAACACCGAUGGCGAAGGCAGCCCCCUGGGUCAAGAUUGACGCUCAUGCACGAAAGCGUGGGGAGCAAACAGGAUUAGAAAUCCCGGUAGUCCCAUGA
Molecule: ribosomal RNA, 476 nt
Filed under: uncultured organism
Description: partial 16S ribosomal RNA
Rfam family: Bacterial small subunit ribosomal RNA
Source: RNAcentral